GGAGUCGGCUUGAGAUUCUUGCUCUCCCUCUGCCCCUCCCCCCAACUCACGGGCAGGUGCACUCUCUCUUCCUCCUUCUCUCUAAAAAUAAAUAAAUAAAUCUUAAAAAAAAAAAAACAAAAACGCAAACCUUGUUAGAUACCUGCACGGCGGGUGUGCGUGUGGUGAGGGCUGCUCAGAAGCUGCAGAGGACGGACCAUGGGAGGCUGUCCCCAGGAAGCGGUGGCAUUCGGGCUGGGACUGGAAGCUGAACGUGGAAAAAACAUGAAGUGAGCCGCAACCAUUGCUGAAAUAACCUCAAAAUCUUGGAAGCCCAACAGAAAAAAGUAGGUUCCACGCCCUUUGUGGGGCUCAAACUCACAACCCUGAGAUCAAGGGUCUGAUGCGCUAUCGGAUGAGCCAGCCAGGCCCUGCACACAUGUUUGAAUCACUGUUCGUGGAACCAGGACCUUUUCU
This is a long non-coding RNA of Ailuropoda melanoleuca (giant panda), 456 nucleotides long. RefSeq lists it as uncharacterized. NCBI's taxonomy places the organism in Eukaryota, Metazoa, Chordata, Mammalia, Carnivora, Ursidae. The record is from RefSeq and is a predicted model, not a curated record. The transcript has 3 exons.